This 646-nucleotide long non-coding RNA is filed under the name Gallus gallus (chicken). Its description in RNAcentral is "long non-coding RNA NONGGAT003315". The record is from RNAcentral. Lineage: Eukaryota; Metazoa; Chordata; Aves; Galliformes; Phasianidae.
GUGGUAUCUAUCAAAAUGAAUGGUGAAGAGGAAACAUGGAAAGAGCUGGAUGCCGAAUUUGAUCGCUGCGUUGUGGAUGUGAAGCCCCACGUCCUAAAGCUGCAGCAUAGGUCAGAACGCCAAAGGUGUGCACUGUGGGUUAAAAAACUGUGUGAGCCCUCAGGAGCGGGUACAGGGAUAGCGGGAAGGAGGAAUCGGAACUCAUAUGCAAAGCUUUUGCUCCACAUGCUGAAACGAGGAGUGCUCGAAGAUCCUUUUACACAUGAACCAGAACCAGGAAUGCUGAAAACAUUACCUUCAUACAUGUUAAUUUAUUUUGAUGAACCAAAUUCAACAAGAAUUCAAAGUAGUAGCCCAGACUACUUACCUGACUGGGUGAUGGGAGAGUUAGGAAAAGGUGAAUCCAGGCAUGAGGAAUUGUGGACUUUAUCUUCUAAAGAAGAAUCACCUUCAGCAACAGCACUUACAUAUGAAGAGAGACUGAAGUAUGAUGGGAAGCCAACAUUGAGAUCCCAGUCUACGAGUCCUCUUCUCCGGACUGAUGAAGAUGACCUAGCAGCACCUCUGCCUGACCAUCAUCAUAAGAAAACUAUUUCUUUGGAUGACAGUGACCUUGAUGCGCGUCUCAGUAGUUGGAACCUUGGGG